AGAUAUCAGAAAUUUUAAGUACAUUCAUUCAUUUUAAUAUUCUUUGCAGGAUGUUGUCAAAACCAUAUAUGUUGCCUGCAGGUGGUUUGUGCAUCACCAGAGGACGAUCUCUACUUAGAUUCUUGGGAGCCAUCUGUUUUCUGCAUAUAGAAAAAUGACAGGGAUUCACUUUCCAAGAAAUUACACUAUGUUCAAUGACUUCCCAUCAAGAGUAAGCAAUGUUCCAUAUCCUGCCAUUGAUUCACAGAGCCACAGGCUAGCUAGAACAUACCCUCAAGGAAAACUAUUUCUCUACUCACAGAAUACUCCUGAUACCAUGUGUGUGGGCAUUUUUCCCACACCAAAUUCUUGGACUCUUCAGACACCAACUGACUGUCUUAAAUUAAAUUCUUUAUUUUUUUUUAAAGUAGGUAAUAUGGUAAUACCUUUAUUUAAUUAUUUUUAAAGUAAGCUCUAUACACAACAUGGGGCUUGAACUCACAACCCUGAGAUCAAGGGUCACAUUCUCUACUGAUUGAGCCAGCC
This 525-nucleotide long non-coding RNA is filed under the name Vulpes vulpes (red fox). RNAcentral describes it as "lncRNA (ENSVVUG00000019822.1)". The record is from RNAcentral. Lineage: Eukaryota; Metazoa; Chordata; Mammalia; Carnivora; Canidae.